Molecule: ribosomal RNA, 506 nt
Filed under: Megasphaera geminata
Lineage: Bacteria; Bacillati; Bacillota; Negativicutes; Veillonellales; Veillonellaceae
Description: bacterial SSU rRNA
Rfam family: Bacterial small subunit ribosomal RNA
Source: RNAcentral
GACGAACGCUGCGGCGUGCGUAACACAUGCAAGUCGAACGAGAGAGUGAGAGAAGCUUGCCUUUCUUACGAUCGAGUGGCAAACGGGUGAGUAACGCGUAAACAAACCUGCCCCGCAGAUGGGGACAACAGCUGGAAACGGCUGCUAAUACCGAAUACGCUCCUCUUAGCGCAUGGUAAGAGGAAGAAAGGGUGGCCUCUGGAACAAGCUACCGCUGUGGGAGGGGUUUGCGUCUGAUUAGCUGGUUGGAGGGGUAACGGCCCACCAAGGCGACGAUCAGUAGCCGGUCUGAGAGGAUGAACGGCCACAUUGGAACUGAGACACGGUCCAGACUCCUACGGGAGGCAGCAGUGGGGAAUCUUCCGCAAUGGGCGAAAGCCUGACGGAGCAACGCCGCGUGAGUGAAGACGGCCUUCGGGUUGUAAAGCUCUGUUAUAGGGGACGAACGGCCGGGUAGCGAAUAGGUAGCCGGCAUGACGGUACCGUAAGAGAAAGCCACGGCUAAC